This 641-nucleotide ribosomal RNA is filed under the name Cortinarius cf. anomalus SMIA46. RNAcentral describes it as "eukaryotic LSU rRNA". It matches the Rfam family "Eukaryotic large subunit ribosomal RNA", at positions 1 to 625 of the family's 3401-position model. The record is from RNAcentral. Lineage: Eukaryota; Fungi; Basidiomycota; Agaricomycetes; Agaricales; Cortinariaceae.
UGACCUCAAAUCAGGUAGGACUACCCGCUGAACUUAAGCAUAUCAAUAAGCGGAGGAAAAGAAACUAACAAGGAUUCCCCUAGUAACUGCGAGUGAAGCGGGAAAAGCUCAAAUUUAAAAUCUGUCAGUCUUUGGCUGUCCGAGUUGUAAUCUAGAGAAGUGUUAUCUGCGCUGGACCGUGUACAAGUCUCCUGGAAUGGAGCGUCAUAGAGGGUGAGAAUCCCGUCUCUGACACGGACUGCCAGGGCUUUGUGAUGCGCUCUCAAAGAGUCGAGUUGUUUGGGAAUGCAGCUCAAAAUGGGUGGUAAAUUCCAUCUAAAGCUAAAUAUUGGCGAGAGACCGAUAGCGAACAAGUACCGUGAGGGAAAGAUGAAAAGAACUUUGGAAAGAGAGUUAAACAGUACGUGAAAUUGCUGAAAGGGAAACGCUUGAAGUCAGUCGCGUUGUCCAGGGAUCAACCUUGCUGUUGCUUGGUGUACUUUCUGGUUAACGGGUCAGCAUCAAUUUUGAUCAUUGGAAAAAGGUUAGGGGAAUGUGGCAUCUUUGGAUGUGUUAUAGCCCUUGAUUGUAUACAAUGGUUGGGAUUGAGGAACUCAGCACGCCGCAAGGCCGGGUUUUUAACCACGUACGUGCUUAGGAUG